This 216-nucleotide ribosomal RNA is filed under the name Glomeromycotina sp. RNAcentral's name for it is "partial small subunit ribosomal RNA". The stretch from base 40 to 216 matches the Rfam family "Eukaryotic small subunit ribosomal RNA", at positions 686 to 864 of the family's 1831-position model. Lineage: Eukaryota; Fungi; Glomeromycota. The record is from RNAcentral.
GGGUCAGUAGGUUGGUCGUGCCACCGGUACGUACUGGUCUCACUGAUUCCUCCUUCCUGAAGAACCGUAAUGCCAUUAAUUUGGUGUUGCGGGGAAACAGGACUGUUACUUUGAAAAAAUGAGUGUGUUUAAAGCAAGCUAACGCUUGAAUACAUUAGCAUGGAAUAAUGAAAUAGGACGAUCGAUCCUAUUUUGUUGGUUUCUAGGAUUGACGUA